This 253-nucleotide ribosomal RNA is filed under the name uncultured bacterium. RNAcentral's name for it is "partial 16S ribosomal RNA". It matches the Rfam family "Bacterial small subunit ribosomal RNA", at positions 524 to 776 of the family's 1533-position model. The record is from RNAcentral.
UACGGAGGGGGCUAGCGUUGUUCGGAAUUACUGGGCGUAAAGCGCGCGUAGGCGGCUUUGUAAGUUAGCGGUGAAAGCCCGGAGCUCAACUCCGGAAUUGCCUUUAAGACUGCAUCGCUAGAAUCAUGGAGAGGUUAGUGGAAUUCCGAGUGUAGAGGUGAAAUUCGUAGAUAUUCGGAAGAACACCAGUGGCGAAGGCGACUAACUGGACAUGUAUUGACGCUGAGGUGCGAAAGCGUGGGGAGCAAACAGG